Molecule: long non-coding RNA, 1015 nt
Organism: Hippoglossus stenolepis (Pacific halibut)
Lineage: Eukaryota; Metazoa; Chordata; Actinopteri; Pleuronectiformes; Pleuronectidae
Exons: 3
Source: RefSeq, a predicted model, not a curated record
UGCAAGCUUACUGCAAGAAGUUUCUUCUUAGCCUAAUGGGUCUAUCAGACAGAUUGGUGACCUUCAUGGGGACCCACCUGUCACCCCACAGCGGUGUCACAACGCGGCCAACCAUGAUGUUUCGCGGCAUUGAUUUGGAUGAAGUGGGUUCAACAAUAACAGUACUGCCUGGUGACAUAGGUGUAUCUUUAGGUAGCUUACCCCAAACAAGUGUUCUUGCCUCACCAGAAGAAUGACAGACUGCCUGAGCUUGACUGUGCCAAUCUUGUUUGGCAGCUCCUCACCCCUCCAACAGGAUGUGUUUGCCAUGAGGUCCAAGAACUGCUCACACUCAGGAGAUGAUGAGAGACUGUCAUUGGCGAUGAGCCGCCAAUAAUCAUCACUGUUUUUCAACUGGUGCAUAAGGAACUUUAUCACAUUUGUGCCAAUGAUAAGGUCGUCUCGCUGACCUGGUACCACAAGAGCUGGAACAAUGCAACUCUCCCCAUACACUUUCAGUUCAACCUCAAGCUCAACCAGUUCAAGCUCAACCAAUACAAUAAACAGCAAUAAUUAACAAAAGCUGAGGGAUUUUUGGUGGAAUGCAAUAUUGGUUUUAAUACCUGCUACAAAAGCAUGGACUGGGAAAUAAAAGGGUUGACUCCGCAAAAGCAACAAAGCUCCGCAGAGACACGCCCCACCCCAGUGAUGGUUCUGUAACCUCAGGUGAUUCUGUCAGAGCUAAAUCCGAAGCUGCCAAUCAAGUCCUCAACCCAAAGACUCAAGCCUGCGUGAGAUCAAAACCCAGGGGUCAGAUCAGCAUAGACUACGAAAAGGAAUUUCUGUCUGUGAAGGUCGGCCCACGACUGCUGAGUAGAUGCAAUGACAACAAACAGACCAGUCAUAACCAGCAGAAUGUUGACAGUGUGGAGUACUGGGAAAAACUGGCCCAAGAAUCAGAUCAGAGCAAACAGCAGGGAGAGCAGUUUAACUUCAAUACCAUUAUACCUCAACUUAAAGCCAAGAUUCUGUUUUU